GCCGACCCCGCGCCGGCCCGCCCGGGGGACGCCGGCCCCGCUCUGGGCGACACUGCGCGCCCCGGCUACGCGCGCCCCGGCAUCCGUGAGAGAGGCGCGCGCCCCGGCAUCCGUGAGAGAGGCGCGCGCCCGCCGCCGCUGGGGGCUCCAGCCGCCGACCCGGGACUGGCAGAGGGGACGCCGCGCCCGAGCCGCUCCUCUGGAUGGCGACAGAGACGGCCUGGCGCGCCCGCAGCCUGGGUCCCCCGCGGGGAGGACGGCCGGGCCAGGUGAAGUUCGUGCACUCGGGCCUUCCGUGUGCCCAUCCACCGCAGCCAGGGCCUGGAAGGCUGGGGAGGGGGCGGGGGCGGCAGACGCCUCCUAAGGGGGUUCUGGGACUUGCAUCCGGACUUUAUUCCAAGGAGAGGGUGCUCUGGGCCUGUUCCCUAGGUGUGCCCUGUUACCCAAAAUCGGGCUUGUGCGGUGGGGUCCCUGAGUCUACUGGGAGCACGGCCUCCGACCCCAGCAGAGUCACCCUUCAUCGGAAGCUCAGCCCCCUGAGGGCUCCUCCUCUACCCGGGGCCGCACGGCCAGGCACAGGCACGCACUUUCCCUCAGCCCUCUGCCCCAGGAUCACUCUACUCGGGCACCUCUGCCACUGCCCCGUCCUUGCUGAGCCAUCUCCUGGUUCAUCUCCUUGGAGUCCCUGCAGGACCAGCUCUCGGUGGCGUCUCCGGGCUCCCAGUCCCAGGACUGGCCCUAUCCAGCCCAGGAGAUACGCUCCCCAGUCCAGGAUGUCCAGAUGGCCCUGCUGCCUGGAGAAGCUCUGGCCCCUGCCGGUACCUGCCACAGCACCACCCCAAGCUCUCCCUUCCUGCAGGGAGGUGAUUCUGCAGAUGUUGGUGCUCCUGACAACUUUGGGGUGGCCAUGAGGGACGCACCCCUUGCCUCUGGAUGUGCAGGGUAGGCAUGGGACCCUGGCAGGGAGGGGGUCCCUCAAUGAGAUUCUGUGGAGUCAACCAUUGAUGCCCAGGUCUCCACCCUUACAAUUUCAUUCCUUUCAUUGAAGCCUUUUUUCCUGCUAAAAAGGAUGUGGUUUUUAAAAUGUUACAGAUUCCAAUUCAUCCUGUCCAUCCCAAACUCUUGUGCCAGACAUUCCUUCAUUCAACCUCUGUUUAUUGAGCACCUACUUGGGCCAGGCACUGGGACUGGGGAAGCCAACAAGACAUAGAUUUUCUGUCCCCCUGGAAAGUGACAGUCAGUUUGAGAAACAGACAAGGAAACAAACAAUUCCAGUGCAGUGUGGCAAGCGUCACGAUGGGAGGGAGAGGAGAGCACUCUUGGAGCACAAGAAAGGAGCGUUUACCCUAAAAUCAUGCUCGAGAGUGCAGCAAGGUGUGUGCCAGGGAAGGGUUCCAGGAGACUGGUUUCCAGGCCUUUUUGAUCCAUCCUUAGGACAAACACACACACACAUGCACACAUAUAUGCACAUACUCACACGAACACACACACGCACGUGAACACACGUGAACACACUCCGCACACAUGCACAUACAUGCACACACGUGCUUUAACACACAUGCACACACAUGCUUGGAGUGAAAGUUUCCGAAGCAAUAUUUACCCCCGAAAUACUCUGAUUGAUGUUUCUAUCGCAUCCUAAUUCAUUUUUGCAAUGCUGGUUGCCCUCUCAAUAAUUUGGUUUAGAGUAAUUUUCUUUGUUUAAAAAAUACGGUUUGAAGAGAGAUGCAGUCUACCUUGAUUUGGGGAGGGUAUACUGGAGCCUUCCUGCCAAAGGACAGGGGCUGUGGUGACAGCGGGGUGGCUGGGGAGGGCUCCCAAGCAGAGGAGAAGGGAUGCAGUGUGGUACCCGGCCUGCUGUAUCCAGGAACUCAGACACUGAGGUUUUCGUGGCCGCAACAUUAGGGCUAUGGCGGGGAACGUUGGGCUAUGGGAGAGCAGUGCCUGGUUCAUUACAUGCUGAAUAUUUCCAGAAAAAGGGAAUGGAAGGGGAGCCCUUGGUGCUUAUGACUUGGAGUCUAGCAUGGUGGAGAGUCUGAAAAUGGUGACGCUACAAAAGUGCGUGAGAGGACCCACUUCAGUCUGUUCGUGUCGGCACCAGGUAUCAUCACUGGCGCCAGUACCUUGGACACUUUUGCACGUAAGAAGAAAUUUUACUGUUGUUUUCAUUUGCAUUUCUCUAAUAAGGAUUAACAAUGUUUAUGUAUGUCAUUUGAAUGUCUUUUGUAGAUCAACUGUUUACAUUGUUUUUCAAAUUUUCUCCUAGUGGGUUUGUCUUUUAUUAUUGAUGAGUAAGAACUCUUUCAAUUUAUUUGUGGGAUCUAUUCCUUUAAUUUUGGGGGAAUUUAAAACAGAAAAAAAUAGAAACAAGAAUAUCAUCAUAUAACAAUAUUGUUAUAAUCAUAUUACCAAUCUUUUUUUCAGUUGUCUUUGUUGAAUGUGUCACGUGUCCAUGUUUCCUCUUGGAGGUUUAAGUAUGUUGUCAUGAGAAUGUGCUAGGAGGUUCCCAUCUUUCGCAUCUUUCGGUAUUUUAAACAGCUUCACGGAGGUGUAUGGACAGGGGUUCUUCAGGGAAACAGAACCAAUAGGCUGUGUAUGUGUCUGUGUGUGUCUGUGUGUGUGUGUGUGUCUGUGCAGUGAUGUAUCACUUAACAGUGGGAAUAUAUUCUGAGAAAUGUGUUGUUAGGCGACUUUGUUGUGUGAACAUUAUAGAUGUAGGUACUUACCCAGACCAAGAUGGUGUCACCUACUACACACCUAGGCAAUAUGGUAGGUUGAGGCUGUUGCUCCUCAGCUACAAACCUGUACAGUGUGUACUGAGUACUGUAGGUGAUUGUAACACAAUAAUAUUUAUCUAUCUAAACAUAGAAAAAGGUAGGUACAGAAAAAUAUGGUAUUGUAAUCUUUUUUUUUUUUGAGGUGGAGUCUUGCCCUGUCGCCCAGGCUGGAGUACAGUGGUGCAGUCUCGGCUCACUGCAACCUCCACCUCCCGGGUUCAAGCAAUUCUCCCUGCCUCAGCCUCCCGAGUAGUUGGGACUACAGGCACCCGCCACCACACCCGGAUAAUUUUUGUGUUUUUUUGGUAGAGACGGGGUUUCGCCAUGUUGGCCAGGCUGGUCUCAAACUCCUGACUUCAGGUGAUCCGCCCACCUUGGCCUCCCAAAGUGCUAGGAUCACAAGUGUGAGCCACCAUGCCUGGCCAGUAUUGUAAUCUUAUGGGGCUGCCAUCAUAUAUGAGGUUCAUUGUUGACUAAACAUCAUCAUUCAGCACAUGACUGUAUAUGUAGAGAGAGAGAGAGAGAGAGAGACUAUCUGGCUCAUGGAAUUGUGGGGACCCGCAGGUCUGGAACUUGCAGGGCAGGCCAACAGCUGAAGACCCAGGAAAGAGUUGAUAUUGCAGCUCAAGUCUGAAGGAUUCUAUAAGCAGAAUUUACUCUGCUGUGGGAGAUCUCCAUCUGUUUGCUCUUAAGGCCUUCAACUGAUUAGACAAGACCCACCCCCAUUAUGGCGAGUCAUGUGCUUUACUCAAAGCCUACUGAUUUAAAUGUUAAGCACAUCUAACAAAUACCUUCGCAUUAACAUCUAGACUAGUGUUUGACCAAACAACUGGUUGCUGUGGCCUAGCCAAGUUGACUCAUGAAACUAGCCAUCAUAGGAGGUGUAAUUGGCAUACAACAAACUGCAUGUAUUUAAAAUGGACAAUAUGGUAAGUUUUGACAUAUGCAGAUACCGGUGGAAACAUCACCACCGUCAAGAUAAUUAAUACAUCCAUGCCGUCACCUGCAGGUGUCCUUUGGCCCCUUGUCAGUCCUCCAUCCCAGGAAACUAUGGAUUCUAUCAUUAUACAUAGGUUAGUAUUUUCUGUAAGAUUAUAAAAAAUGGAAUUAUCCAGUAUAUGCUUUAUAUGCUUUUUUUUUUCUGACUUGGGUGACUCAGCAUAAUCAGUUUGAGAUGCAUCCACGUGACUGCAUGUAUCACAGAUAGUUCAUUCCUUUCUAUUGCUGAUCCCUUACCAUCACAUGGAUACACCAGGUGUCCAUGUACUUACCUGUGAUGGACAUUUGGGUUGUUUACUCUUUUUCCUCUUUUUUUUUUUUUUUUUUUUUUUUUUUUGAGAUGGAGUCUCACUCUGUCGCCCAGGAUGGAGUGCAGUGGCACGAUCUCGGCUCACUGAAAGCUCCGCCUCCGAGGUUCACGCCAUUCUCCUGCCACAGCCUUUCAAGCAGCUGGGACUACAGGUGCCUGCCACCACGCCCGGCUAAUUUUUUUGUAUUUUUGGUAGAGACGCUGUUUCACCGUGUUAGCCAGGAUGGUCUCGAUCUCCUGACCUCAUGAUCCGCCCGCCUCGACCUCCCAAAGUGCUGGGGUUGCAGGCGUGAGCCACCGCGCCUGGCCUGUUUACUCUUUAUACUAUUACAAAUAAACUGCUGUGAACAUUCAUGCACAAAUAUUUGUAAGAGCAGGUACUUUCUUUUUUUGUGGAUAAAUAGCAAAGGGUUGAAUGGCUGGAUCAGAUGAUAGGCAUACAUUUCACUUCUUACCGAACUGCCAAACUGCUUUCCAUUGUGAUGGGACCAUUUGACACGUGCGCCGGCCACAUGAGGGUUCUACUUCCUCUGCAUUUUGGCCGUGUCCUGGCAUGGUGGGUCUUUCUGAUUAUAGUCAUCCUAAAGGGUAAGAAGUAGUAUCUCAUAUGGCAUUAAUUUGCUUUUCUCUAAUGACUAAUCAUAUUAAGAAUUAUUUCAUGUGUUUAUAUGCAUCUUCUAUGGUGAAGUACUUACAGUUUUCAAUUUUCUUGAUUUCUGAGAUUUCUUUAUAUAUUCUAGACACAAGUCUUUAUGAGACAGAUAAUUUGCAAAUAUUUUUCCCAAUCUAUGGCUUGUCAUGUCAUUCUCCUAACUGUCAUUUAAAAAGCAUAAGUUUUUUAUUUUGAUAAAUUCCAGUUUAUCAAUUUCUUCUUCUGUGGAUUGCAUCUUUUAGUGUCAUAUUUAAGAAAUCUAUGCCUGGCCCAAGGACAUAAAAUUUUAAGGUAUAUUUACUUUUAUAAGUCUCAUAGUUUUAGGGUUUACAGUUAGAUCUGUGACUCAUCUUGAGCAAAUGUUUGUAAUGUGAGCUGUAGACACAAGUUUAAUUUUUUGCAUAUAAAUUUUCAUUUGUCUUAGCAUAAUUUGUUUGAAAUAUUAUUCUUUCUCCACUGAAUUGCUUCUGCCUCUUUGUCAGUAAUCAGUUGCCAAUAUUUGCUUGUGUCUAUUUCUGGACUCUCUAUUCUGUACCAUUGAUCUAUUUAUCUAACUUUAUGCACACUGUCUUGAUUACUAGAGCUUUAUAGUAAGUCACGAAAUCGGUUAGUGUUAGUACUCCAUUGUUUUCUAUGUAAAGAGGUUUUUUGGUGCUUCUAGAUUAUUUGCAUUUUCAUAUGAAUUUUAGAAUCCGUUUGUCAAUUCCCAUGAAUAAGCCCACUUCUACAUUUGAUUUUUCAUACUCUUGUAUUCUACAACCUUGAUAAACUCAGAUAUUAGACCUAUCAUUGUUUUUUAUUGAUUCCAUCAAAUUUUCUACAUAAACAAUUCCAACACCUGUGAAUUAAGAGUUUCAUUUUUUUCUUUCCAAUCUGGAUGAUUUUCAUUUCAUUUUCUUGUCUCAGUGCAUGGGCCAGCACUACAAGCAUAAUAAUGAUAUUAACAGUGAGAAGAGAUAUCAUUGUCGUAUUUCUUAUCUUAGCAAUAAAACUUUCAGUCUUCCACCAUUAAACAUGAUGUUAGCUGAAGAUUUUGCACAGCUGCCCUUUAGGGUUGGAAAAAUUCCUUUUCAUGCCUAGUUUUUAGAGAUCUUUUAUCAGAAAUGGGUAUUAAAAUUUCUAAAUGUCUUUUCUAAGAUCAUCAUAUCUCUCCACUCACAUUACUACUUUAGUUGUAUUUUUAUUUCCAUUCAGUUUAAAAUACUUUCUUAUUUUUCUUUUGAUUUAUUUUGACCCAUAAAUUAUUUAGAAGUGUGGUAGUCUUUAAACAUUUAGAGUAUUUUCCAGAGAUUUUCUGUUAUUUAUUUCUAAUUUAAUUUUAUGUUGGCAAAUAACAUACUUGGUGUGACUUGAAUUCUUUGAAAUAAUCUGAUACUAGUUUUAUGCCCCGAAUAUGGUCUAUAUGGGAAAUGUAUCAUAUGCACUUAGGAAGAAUAAAAACACUGCUCUUGUUUGGUGAGAUGUUUUCUAAAUCACUAUUCCAUCAAGUCAAUUGAUAGUGUCAUUCAAAUCAUCUGUUUCCUCAGUGACUGCCAAUUAUUGAGAAAGAUUCGACAUAUUUGACUGUAAUUGUGGAUUUGUCCAUUUUUUGCGGUUAAUCAGUUUUUGCUUGAAAUAUUUUGAAAUUAUGUUAUUAAGUGCGAGACCAUUUAGGGUUACUGUGCCCUCUUGAGGAGUAGAUUUUUCUAUCAUUAUAAAAUGAUCCUAUUGAUCACUGUAAGAAGUCUACUUAGUCUGAAAUUGAUAUAUUCACACCAAUAAUACAGCAUAUGUUUUUCCAUAUUUUUCCAUUUAAAAUAUUUAUGUCCUUAUUUUUGUGGUCAGCUUUGAGGAAACAAGUUGAGUCUUGAUUCUUCAUCCAGUCUCACAAUCUCUGCAUCAUAGUGGAAUAUUCAGAAAAUUUACAUUUAAUGUGAUUAUUUCUUUGCUUAGAUUUAAGUCUACCACAUUGUCAAAUAUUUUAUAUUUAUGCAACCUGUUCUUUCUUUUCCUGCUUAUUCUGGCUUCUAUGUAUUAAUUGAAUAUUUUUAUGAUUAAAUUUUGUGUUUUCUUUUUGACUUAUCUAUAACUCUUUGCUUUAUUAUACUAGUGUUUGCUUCUCAUAUGUAGCUUUACUGUGCCAUUUUGAAGGUAUAUUAUUUUGUCACUUUACUUAUAGUAUCAGUAACCCAUAUAGUUUCUAUUUUUUUGUAUCCUUAUGAUUUGGAUUAGAUCCAUUUUUCUACCUGUAUUAGUUUCCUUCUACUUGAAGGACUUCUUUUAACAUUUUUUGCAAAACAGGUCUGCUUGUAAUUAAUUCCUUCAUUUUCUGAAUCUCUCAAAAAUGUUUAUUUUGCCUUCAUUUUGAAAGAUAUUUUUUCUAGGCAUAGAAUGCUAAGUUGGCAGGUGAUUUGUUUCAGUACUUUAUUGACAUUGUGCCACUGUCUUCUCUCUUGUAUUGUUUUCAAUGAGAAAUCUGCUGUUUUUCUUGCAUUUGUUCCUCAGAAUGUCAUAUCGUUUGUAUCUGGCUGCUUCUAAGGUGUGCUUUUUUCUUUUUCUGAUUCCUAAUUUUUUUAAUUGACAAAAAUUAACAUGUUUUGACAUGUGAGAAACAACAUGUUUUCAAAUAUUUAUACAUAGUGGAAUGACUAAAUUGAGCUAAUAAUGUGCAUUACCUCACAAAAUUAUCAUUUUUGUGAUGAGAACACUUAAAAUCUACUGUGUUACCAUUUUUCGAGAAUAUGAUAUAUUGUUCUUAACUAUAGUUACCAUGUUAUACAAUAGAUACCUUGAACUUGUUCCUUUUUUACUAGCCAAAUUUUGUAUCCUUUGACCGUCAUCUUCCCAACCCCUCUAUCUUCUAACCCUCAAUCACCCCUGGUAUUCACCAUUCCGUUUGACCAUCAUGUCUCCAACACUUCUGUCCCCCAACUCUCCACUACCCCUAUUCUAAUUUCUAUUUCUAAGCAGUCAACUUUUUAAAAUUCCACAUAUAAGCAAGAUCAUGUGAAAAGAAACAACACAGUGAAGAGACAACUUACAAAAGGGGAGAAAAUGUUUACAACCAUACAUCUUAUAAGGAGUUAAUAUACAAAACAUAUAAGAAACUCAAACAACUCAGUAACAAGAAAACAAGUGACCCAGUUCAGAAAUGGGGAAAGGACCUGAAUCAGCAUUUAAAGAAGACACCUAAAUGGCCAACAGACAUAUGAAGAAAUGCCCAGAAUCACGAAUCAUCAGGGAAAUGCAAAUUAAAAUCCCAUGGAGAUGUUAUCUCACCACUAUGGUUUGGAUUUGUGUCCCCACGUAAAUCUCAUGUGAAAUUGUAAUUCCCCAUUUUGGAGGAGGGACCUGGUGGGAGGUGAUUGGAUCAUGGGGGCGGAUUUCCUUCUUGCUGUUCUCAUGAUAGUGAGUGAGUUCUCAUGAGAUCUGGUUGCUUAAAAGUGUGUAGCAACCACCUUCCUCCUGCUGUGGCCACAUAAGACGUGCUUGCCCCCCUCACCUUCCACCAUGAUUGUAAGUUUCCUGAGGCCUCCCUAGCCAUGCUUUCAUAGAGCCUGUGGAAUCAUGAGCCAAUUAAACCUCUUUUCUUUAUAAAUUA
This is an RNA transcript of Symphalangus syndactylus (siamang), 8318 nucleotides long. RefSeq lists it as uncharacterized. Lineage: Eukaryota; Metazoa; Chordata; Mammalia; Primates; Hylobatidae. The record is from RefSeq and is a predicted model, not a curated record.